UACACAUGCAAGUCGAACGGUAACAGGGUGCUUGCACCGCUGACGAGUGGCGAACGGGUGAGUAAUAUAUCGGAACGUACCUAGUAAUGGGGGAUAACUAUCCGAAAGGAUAGCUAAUACCGCAUACGCCCUGAGGGGGAAAGAGGGGGAUCGCAAGACCUCUCGUUAUUAGAGCGGCCGAUAUCAGAUUAGCUAGUUGGUGAGGUAAAGGCUCACCAAGGCCACGAUCUGUAGCGGGUCUUAGAGGACGAUCCGCCACACUGGAACUGAGACACGGUCCAGACUCCUACGGGAGGCAGCAGUGGGGAAUCUUGGACAAUGGGCGCAAGCCUGAUCCAGCAAUGCCGCGUGCGUGAAGAAGGCCUUCGGGUUGUAAAGCGCUUUUGUUCGGGAGGAAAUCCUAGUGGCUAAUAUCCAUUGGGGAUGACAGUACCGGAAGAAUAAGGACCGGCUAACUACGUGCCAGCAGCCGCGGUAAUACGUAGGGUCCAAGCGUUAAUCGGAAUUACUGGGCGUAAAGGGUGCGCAGGUGGUUGAUUAAGUGUGAUGUGAAAGCCCCGGGCUCAACCUGGGAAUUGCAUUGCAAACUGGUCAACUAGAGUAUGGCAGAGGGGGGUGGAAUUCCGCGUGUAGCAGUGAA
Molecule: ribosomal RNA, 640 nt
Filed under: beta protobacterium KITTS13
Lineage: Bacteria; Pseudomonadati; Pseudomonadota; Betaproteobacteria
Description: bacterial SSU rRNA
Rfam family: Bacterial small subunit ribosomal RNA
Source: RNAcentral